CAUAAAAGCUCAUUUGUACUAUUAGCUAGAAUUUCACUACACUAGCUAGCUAGAGAGAGUAUUCAGCAUUGGGUGUCUGAACUGGCGUUGUUAGCAUCCCUUUCGUUUCACAUGGAUUGAUUUGAUACCGGUUCAGCCAGCAUGCAUUAAGCUAGCUAGCUACCUAAUUGUCGUACACGUUUCAAUUUUUAUAAAUACUGAUUCUACAACCUCAAAACACCGUAGCUAGAUGUAGAAUUAGGUAGCCAUUCCAGCAUACGACGCGAGAGGCCGGUGGUUGAACAUGUAAAUAACCUACAAAUAAGCACAUUAUUUGUUUGUUUAUUAAGUGUGGAUUAUUUUUAAUGAAGCCAUUCAAAUACUGUUGCUGACCUCUGUUGAAUGCACGUGAUGGGCAAUGGGCUGACUGAGAGGAGUAUGUUUUGCGCAGUCUGGCAGUAAACCAACUAUCUUUCAGCUGCUGAUGAUGACAACAACAACAACUGCAUCCAGGCAACAACCCAUACUGUAGCCUACUGUACCAUAAUAAAGUCCACCAGAGUUGGUACCAAGAUUGAAGUGGGCCAUCAUUCAAACAAAGAGAUGCCUCCCUGGCCACCAGUGCAUAUUUUUUAACUAUGCUUGCAUAAUGACAAUAAAAUCAGAAAACUAUGCUGGUAUUCUUUUGUUAUUUAAUUGUUUAUU
This is a long non-coding RNA of Salmo salar (Atlantic salmon), 684 nucleotides long. RefSeq lists it as uncharacterized. NCBI's taxonomy places the organism in Eukaryota, Metazoa, Chordata, Actinopteri, Salmoniformes, Salmonidae. The record is from RefSeq and is a predicted model, not a curated record.